AAGUCGAGCGAAGCGCUUGUGAAUGAUCCUUCGGGUGAUUUUGCUGGUGACUGAGCGGCGGACGGGUGAGUAACGCGUGGGUAACCUGCCUCAUACAGGGGGAUAACAGUUAGAAAUGACUGCUAAUACCGCAUAAGCGCACAGUGCCACAUGGUACGGUGUGAAAAACUCCGGUGGUAUGAGAUGGACCCGCGUCUGAUUAGCUAGUUGGUGGGGUAACGGCCCACCAAGGCGACGAUCAGUAGCCGACCUGAGAGGGUGAUCGGCCACAUUGGGACUGAGACACGGCCCAAACUCCUACGGGAGGCAGCAGUGGGGAAUAUUGCACAAUGGGGGAAACCCUGAUGCAGCAACGCCGCGUGAGUGAAGAAGUAUUUCGGUAUGUAAAGCUCUAUCAGCAGGGAAGAAAAUGACGGUACCUGACUAAGAAGCCCCGGCUAACUACGUGCCAGCAGCCGCGGUAAUACGUAGGGGGCAAGCGUUAUCCGGAUUUACUGGGUGUAAAGGGAGCGUAGACGGCAGCGCAAGUCUGAAGUGAAAGCCCGGGGCUCAACCCCGGAAUGGCUUUGGAAACUGCGCGGCUAGAGUACCGGAGGGGUAAGCGGAAUUCCUAGUGUAGCGGUGAAAUGCGUAGAUAUUAGGAGGAACACCAGUGGCGAAGGCGGCUUACUGGACGGUAACUGACGUUGAGGCUCGAAAGCGUGGGGAGCAAACAGGAUUAGAUACCCUGGUAGUCCACGCGGUAAACGA
This 750-nucleotide ribosomal RNA is filed under the name uncultured bacterium. RNAcentral's name for it is "bacterial SSU rRNA". It matches the Rfam family "Bacterial small subunit ribosomal RNA", at positions 59 to 809 of the family's 1533-position model. The record is from RNAcentral.